GCAGUAGUUUACUGGGCACGGAUUCAGAGCUUAUGGAGAUUUUCUAGAACGUAACUACCACCUGCAAUGAGAGUCAACAGUAGCACCUUCCUCAGAAGGUUGUUGUAAGGACUGGGUGAGUUGUAAAUCUCAAGCAUGUAGGACCGAGCUUCAUACACCAGCUCAUCUCUCUAGACCCACUGCACAGCCAUUUCUUCCUUGAGGUCUUAACAUUCCCCUGGGGUCUUCCCUGGAAAUGAGGCCUUGGUCCCUUUUGCUCUUGGAUCCCCCAAGCCUUCUGCAGGAGGUUCUGCUCCACAUCUCCCACCGCUCAACCCCAACUAGGUCCAGGGAGCAAGGAGCAGAACCACCACUGCCUCAGGGAUUCACCAGCCCCAUCAGAGAUGCUUGCCUACUCUGGGAAGCCUUGUGCUUAAGUCACAUAUCCUGCUGUAAUUACUGUCUAUGCCUUUGGAGCUUAAGGGCUUUGGAAACUCAGAAGCCAGGAGACACAGUCUUAUUUCUCUGGUUGCUACUUUCAUUUCCUUCCCCUAAAGCAAUGAGGCUUCUUGGCUCAGCUUGAAUGUGAAAUUCCCCAGUGAAAUACUGGGCAGUGGUGGGUAGUUGGAAACUGUGCUCAAUACUUUAAAUAUGUUAUCUCACAUCUUUUGAGAGACAAGUUGCCUUCUAAAUCAAAAGUUAGGUGAGGUCUGCUCAUAUCGUCUCUCUUUAAACAGAGAGAGCAUGUGUUUCAUGAUGAUGGACUUUCCUUGUGCUGUCAGCCUCCAGGAUGUAUGUAUGUGUUUGGCAUAGAUAGGAACCUAAUCUACUUUCAUUGCUGUUUUUUCAACAUGAAGAAAAGACUUAAAAUGAUGCUCUCCUGUUCCUCCCUGGGAAUAGGGGGGUCUUAAUCUGUCCCCUUGCUGAGGGUCAGUAGCCAGCAGCAAGCACCCUGUGAGCUCUCCUGACUUGACCCUCACUGUCGAGAUUGUUCAGUCACACACCUGAAGCAGAUGGGAAUCGAAAUCAGGCAUAAUUAUAAACCCUUCCUUCUGUGUGGUCUCCUGUCACUUACCCCCUGGAGCCUGUGGUUUCCUUAGUUCAACUAGAUGAGUUGCAGAGGGAUCCUUCUGCCUCUACAAACUUUGGAUUCAUUGAUACGUUGAACUCUCAUGAGCUUCCUGGCUAACGAAGAGAAUUUCUAUUAUAAUUAUUAACCAGCAGCCUCAUCUUGAUACCCUUAACUAAGCACCAAUGAUAGACAUCCUUCAGAGCUCCUCUAUACUCUUUGAGUACUCAGCCCACAUCUAGCCCAGUUCUAACAUCAUUUAUUACAGGGUUUUGAAAGCAGCUGUUUACUUAUCUGCCUUUCCACUUGAAACUUCCUUCUGGGGAGGAGGGCAUGGGGUGCUGUGGCUUAUUUGCAUUUAUAUUCUCAAAGAUAGUAGAGUUUUUUUUUUUUACAUAUAUUUAUGGCUUUGUAGAUAUUUACUGAAAUAUGCUGUGCCUGUAGACAUAAAGCUAGACUAGGAAACCCUCCAAAUGUAGAGCUCAGUUGUCGAAGUCAAUAUCUGAUAGAAAUCCAUCAUUAUGUUCAUAUAUUUAUAUUCAUAACCUAAAGCCAUCAUCCAAUUGCACAGUGGCGGAUUUAUUUCAUGUAUCAGUUCUUUCAGAUGGGCAGGGCUUUUCUUCUUUACAUUUCCUCUGCUCAGUGGAAUAAGUUGAAAGGAAAGAGGCAUAUGUGAUAGGAGAACUAAGUGCUAAUAUGACAACCCUUGGUCUACUUAUAAAUCAUGGUUUUGCAAAAGGAAUGUGUAAGUUUUUCAUAGUGUUAAUUAAGCUGGGGUCUGUUUAGCCCUGGGGGAUAUUGGGCAAUGUCAGGAGAUGCUUGCGGUUGUCAAAACCAGAGGAGAGGUUGUUACCAACAUCUAGUGGAGAGAGGCCAGAUGUGUCACUGAAUAUCCUGCAAUGCACAGAGUGAUCUCCAACAAAGAAUCACUCAGCCCUGAAUGUCAGCCUGGCUGAGACUGAGAAACACUGGUUUAGACAGACCCUCAGAUCAUGUUGGACUUUGAGUACAUUCUUUUCGGUUGAGUGCUGGGCUCAGCACAUGACCUCUGACAUCCUUAGCGUCUCCACGAUUGACUAGUGUCACUGUUUAAUGGUGAUCUGGAGACACCACACGUCCCAGAACUGCCCUCUGAAUCAGCACCAGUGUGACCACCUUCAGGGCUCCCCUUCCUCUCAGAGGCUACCAGGGCACCUGCCAUCCAAAAAGGUCACCGUAGGUGCCAUUUUUCUGUUUAUAUAUGUGCCCAUCACCCACAACUAGACCACAUAUUUCUUCUUUUUUUCUUUUUUGUCUUUUGUCCUUUUUUAGGGCUGCAUCUGCGGUAUAUGGAAGUUCCCACACUAGGGGUCUAAUAGGAGCUAUAGCCGCGGGGCUACGUCAUAGCCACAGCAACAUGGAAUCCAAGCCGGGUCUUCGACCUACACCACAGCUCAUGGCAGCACUGGAUCCUUAACCCACUGAGCCAAGGCCAGGGAUCGAACCUGCAUCCUUGUGGUUCCUAGUCGGAUUUGUUUCCACUGCGCCAUGACGGGAACUCCCUAUUUCUUUCUUUCUUUUUCUUUUUUAAGUUUUAUUGAAGUAUAGUUAAUUUACAAGGUUGUGAUCAUUUCUACUGUACAACAAAGUGACCCAGUCAUACAUACACAUCCAUUCUCUCUCGGAUUCUUUUCCCACAUAGUUUAUCACAGAAUACUAGGCAGAGUUCUCUGUGCUCUACAGCAGGUUCCUGUGCUAGACCACAUAUUUCUUCCUGGCAGAGAACAUGUGUUCUGUCAUUGCACCCUGUUGCCAUUAUUUCCCAUAAUUCCUCUUUAAAAUGCUUUGGCACUCAGGGCAUGAUGAUGAUGCUCUGUCUUUGGAGUUGAAUGCUUAGACAGUUGUUCGUCUGUAAAUACCCUCGAUGGUAAAUUGCAUCUAGCCACAAUGUGAAGUGACCAGAAUCAUCCAUUCUCCCACCAUUCUGGAUAAACUGGCAUUCAGAUUUGUGUUCCUGGGGUCAGGGUUUAUUAAGUUUAAGUGUUUAGGGUUAGCGACAGCUAAUUCUUGGAGUUCCUGUUGUGGCUCAGUGGUAACAAACCCAACUAGUAUCCAUGAGCUGUGGUGUAGGUUACAGAUGCAGCUUGGAUCCCACGUUGCUGUGGUUGUGGCAUAGGCUGGCAGCUGCAGCUCUGAUUCGACCCCUAGCCUGGGAACCUCCAUAUGCAGCAGAUGUGGCCCUAAAAUAAAAAAAUAAAUAAAUAAAUAGAGAGAGAGAGAUAGCAAAUUAUUAAGAUCUGUUUUCUUCCUUGAUUCCCUGAUUUGUGAGGAUGUCAUCUUUACCUGGGAAAUAAAAUGGAGCCUUCACUCACUCAAGAAAUAAAAAC
Molecule: long non-coding RNA, 3414 nt
Filed under: Sus scrofa (pig)
Lineage: Eukaryota; Metazoa; Chordata; Mammalia; Artiodactyla; Suidae
Description: lncRNA (ENSSSCG00025073267.1)
Source: RNAcentral